AGUGGGGUAGUGCAGUGGUUAGCAUACUUCACCGGUAAUGAAGAGAUCUGAAGAUCAAAUCUCGGCUCCACCA
This 73-nucleotide transfer RNA is filed under the name Ixodes scapularis (black-legged tick). It matches the Rfam family "tRNA". Rfam says of the family: Transfer RNA (tRNA) molecules are approximately 80 nucleotides in length. Their secondary structure includes four short double-helical elements and three loops (D, anti-codon, and T loops). Further hydrogen bonds mediate the characteristic L-shaped molecular structure. tRNAs have two regions of fundamental functional importance: the anti-codon, which is responsible for specific mRNA codon recognition, and the 3' end, to which the tRNAs corresponding amino acid is attached (by aminoacyl-tRNA synthetases). tRNAs cope with the degeneracy of the genetic code in two manners: having more than one tRNA (with a specific anti-codon) for a particular amino acid; and 'wobble' base-pairing, i.e. permitting non-standard base-pairing at the 3rd anti-codon position. The record is from Rfam by way of RNAcentral. Lineage: Eukaryota; Metazoa; Arthropoda; Arachnida; Ixodida; Ixodidae.